ACAGAUACCAGUUUUAACA
This 19-nucleotide unclassified non-coding RNA is filed under the name Mus musculus (house mouse). RNAcentral describes it as "oocyte_clustered_small_RNA10255". The record is from RNAcentral. Lineage: Eukaryota; Metazoa; Chordata; Mammalia; Rodentia; Muridae.